UGGUGGAGUGAUUUGUCUGGUUGAUUCCGUUAACGAACGAUAUCUUGGCCCUUCAAUGACAGUUCGAUCGACCUGUAGUCCAUGCAACGGGGGACAACGCCUGUAGUAGCA
This 111-nucleotide ribosomal RNA is filed under the name uncultured eukaryote. RNAcentral's name for it is "partial 18S ribosomal RNA". The record is from RNAcentral.